GGCUCAGGACGAACGCUGGCGGCGUGCCUAACACAUGCAAGUCGAGCGGGGACUUUACGACUGAAUUGAAGACUUCGGUUGAAUAUGAAGAUGUAAAGUUCUAGCGGCGGACGGGUGAGUAACGCGUGAGCAACCUGUCCCUUACAGGGGGAUAACACAGCGAAAGUUGUACUAAUACCGCAUGAGACCACGGAGUGACAUCAUUCAGGGGUCAAAGGAGCAAUCCGGUAAGGGGUGGGCUCGCGUCCGAUUAGAUAGUUGGUGAGGUAACGGCCCACCAAGUCGACGAUCGGUAGCCGACCUGAGAGGGUGAUCGGCCACAUUGGGACUGAGACACGGCCCAAACUCCUACGGGAGGCAGCAGUGGGGAAUAUUGGGCAAUGGGGGGAAACCCUGACCCAGCAACGCCGCGUGAGGGAAGAAGGUUUUCGGAUCGUAAACCUCUGUCCUUGGUGAAGAGGAAGAGACGGUAGCCAAGGAGGAAGCCCCGGCUAACUACGUGCCAGCCGCGGC
RNAcentral lists this ribosomal RNA (513 nucleotides) under uncultured bacterium. RNAcentral describes it as "bacterial SSU rRNA". It matches the Rfam family "Bacterial small subunit ribosomal RNA", at positions 21 to 518 of the family's 1533-position model. The record is from RNAcentral.